GUGCUCACUUCAGCAGGCAUUAUUACUAAAACUGGAAAGAUGAAGAAUAUUAGCACGAUACCUGCACAAGGAUGACAUGCAAUUCAUGAGGAGUUCCUAUUAACA
This 105-nucleotide small nuclear RNA is filed under the name Macaca nemestrina (pig-tailed macaque). Lineage: Eukaryota; Metazoa; Chordata; Mammalia; Primates; Cercopithecidae. The record is from RNAcentral.